GCUGGGGUGACAGAUGCAAGAGAGGUGACUAGGAUGUGUCUCUGAUCACCCAGUAGGUUAGCUUGGGCUUGUUCACCUGGUGGCAGCAGGGUUUCAAGAGACCAAGCAGAAGACGCAAGACCUUUCAAGCCCAGGCUCAGGCGUGGCACACAUCACCUUUGCUGCAUUGUGUUGGUCCGAGUGAGUCACAAGCACAGACUCCAGCCUUGCUGGGAGGAGCUGCAGGGCACUUUGCAGAGCGGCAUGGACAGGUGCAAAUGGAAGGAGGAGGGGGAGUUGAAGCCAUUUUUGCAGUCAGCCUACCGAAUGACCGAGAGCAGUGUGUUUCAGAGAAGGCAACAAUGGCAGAAGAUAAUGAAAACCAUUCCUGGGAGCUAUUUCUGAUCUUCGCUUUUCUCCAUCCCAGGGAUGUCUCAGUGGUGGUGGUGAUUGUCUUGAGGCUGUAAUCCAGACACCCAGAAACACCACUGCUAUGGCAGGGCAAUGCCAGAUCAGUGAUCCUCACCUCUGGUCCCUCCACACACUCAGCUCAUUCAUUUUCACAUCCUCAACUGCCAGCCUUGCCCCUGGCAAGUCCAUUUAAUGCAUGAAGGCACUAACUCCAAUUACAGUGGUUUCUCAAGAGCAGAUAUGACUGUGGGCUGAUUCAGAGCCAGCUGGUUUUGUCUUCAUGCUUUCUGUACUGUGCAUAUGUACAGUUGCAGUUUGGGGGUAGGGAAGCCUUUAUUUUUUUCCCCUCAUGACAAAAUACCAGUUCAUUGUAGAAAUCUUGGAAAACCCAAAGGACAAAACAAUUAGCCUUCACUCAAUUACUCAGAGAAAAACAGUACCCAUUUUGUGGCAUAUCCUUUCAGUGGUGUGUGUGUGUGUGUCAGUGUGCGUUUGCCCGGGAGUGGAAAUGACUGAAACCUGUGGUUUGCCAACAGAAUGGACAUCUGUUCCCUGUGAGUCCCAGGGGCCCUGGCCUCCACCUGCUGUUUGGGGCUUUCUCGGUUUCCUCCACCAUGGUUCUCUCUCCCUCGUUUUUGCACUACCCUCUGUUUUUUGAUAAGCUGCUUCUGAAGUUAGAGAAUGAGAGUGCAGCCUUUGAAGCGUGACGGGAGAUGUGGAGACCGUCUCCUUGGCUGCGCAGAUGAAGAGGCACGUGGCCUGCCCGAGGCCCCCAGUGAGCCGGGAGCAAAACUGGAUCUCAGUUCCUAGCCCAGUGUCCCAGACCACCUUUUAUGCCCUCCUUGUCACUCAGAUGCCUUCUCCACAGCAAACCCAGAAGAAACGGUGCCCUGAUUACACCAGGAGACGAACGGGACACAGAAGUAGCUUUCUCAGCAGGGAGCCUCUACCCUCACCCCCGCAGUCUAGUCCCCACACACGGGCAGAGGGAUCCCUUCAGCCCAGAUGAGACCAUGGCCCUCCUCAGCUCCCACCACCUGUGUCUCCCACCUCCCUCGGGGUAAAAGUCAAAGUCCCCAAGAAGCCUACAAGGCCCCCGUGACCUGGCCCCAUCUCUCCCUGUCCCUGGCUCCAACUCACUGGCCUCCCCUCUGUUCCCACCUACUGGGCCCAUUGGAAUCUUCAAACUUGCUGUCCCCUUUGCUAGGAACAUGUGUCCCCAGAUGUCUGAAUGGCUUGCUCUGUCACCUCCUUCUGGUCAUUACUAAAAUAUCACCUUCUCAGCUAGGCCUCCUCUAAAACAGUAAACCCCCUCGCAUAACACACAUACACACGCACCACAUACCCGCUCCCUCCAGACUGCCAGUGGUCAGACUCGCUUUAGAUUUUCUGUGUUUAUUGUCUGACCCCCACCAUGACAAAGAUCUGUACUGAUCUUGUCAUGAGGGGUGUGUAUAAGGCCCUCUUUCUAGAAUCUGCUCUGGGCCACAGGAUGAGAGGCACUGGCGAGGGGUGCAAUGUCCACUGCUGAAUGCCAAACCAUCCCCCCAGCACACAGCAAGUGCUCAGUGAGUAAGGAUGAAUAAAGGAUGGAAUGUGGAAUGCGGGAGAGCUAGAAGUAAAGGAAUAGAAGAGGGCACUGUGCACUUUUCCUUUUAUAAUGAAUGGUAUCUGAAUUUGUAAAUUCUAAUUCCUUACAGCAGAAAGCUCUGGGAAGCAUUUGCUUUAUUUCUUUCAAUCAGAAAAUGGUGUUUGUUUGGAGAUCUUGGCUAGAUGCUGCACUUCCCAAGUUCUGAUGAAAAUGUUCUUUAUUUCAGAGUAAUGGGGAGGUUCCAGGAUGAAGUUUUCUGAUCCAAAAGUCAAGACAGUCACUAAUAAAUAAAUAGAAGAGUUGAGAAUUUGAAUGAAUACAUGGAGAGUCUGCGGCACGCCAGGCCCUGUGCCAGCCCUAGAGAGGAGUCCUCAUUCCAGUGUCGAGAGGCUCCGACUUUGCCCAGAUCACAGGCAUCUCGACACAUUGCCAAACCCAGGCUUCAGCAUGCUUAGUAAGAGAGUGAUCAGGGUUGUAGACACAGAGAAGAGGGAGCACUCCCUGGGGAAGGGGGCAGAGGGCAAGGUGAGGCUGCACAGAGGAGGUGCUAUCUACAAGGGUUUUGAAGGUUGAAUAGAAGUUUGUGAGGUGGGCAGAGGUGGGCAUCAUUCCAAGCAAAGAGAAUUACAUUUGCAAAAGAACAGAGUCACGUGGCAGUGAGAGUUGUGGAGGGAGCUGCACACCACUCGGGGCUGUUGGAGCGUAAAUGAAAAGAUGCUAUGUGUAUGAGUCCGCUAGGGCCAGCAUAACAAAAUUCUACAGACUGGGGAGCUUCAACAGCAGGGAUUUAUUUUCUCACAGUUCUGGAGGCUGAAAAUGCAAGAUCAAUGUGUUGCUAGGGCUGGUUCCUUCUGAGGCCUCUCUCCUUGGCUUGUAAGUGGCCGUCUUCUCCCUGUGUCCUCACAUGGUCCUCCCCAUCUAGUGUGUACAUUUGGGUUAUAGUGGAUUAGGGCCCACCCAUAUUAACUUCAUUACCUUGGCAAAGACCUUGUAUCCAUUCGGAGGUACUAGAGGUUAGGGCUUCAGCCUGUGAAUCUGGGGAAACAGCUCAGCCCAUAACACCAAGAUAGGAAUAUCUCUCUCUCUCUCUCUCUCCCUCUCUCUCUCUCUCUCUCUUUCUCUCUCUCUCUCCCUCCCUCCCUCCUCCCUCUCCCACCUCUGUUGUGUGGUCUCUCUCUCUCUGGGGAAUGAUCAAGGAUGGAACAAUGUCAACAGACUGCGAUGCGUAACCCUCAGUUGAGAAUGACUCGGAUUUAAUUCGAAUGGUCCUCUGAGUGUCAGGCGCCUCUUUGUGGUGUGGAGAGGAGGCCACCCUAGUCUGGGUAGGCAUGCUUUUAUGGAAAAAUAUUAAACCAGCCCUGCCCGUGUUAGUCAGAUCCAGUGAGGGGCGUUGCAAGUUGUUUUAUAUUUGUUUUGGAUUACUUUCAACACUUGUCCUAGAAUGCUCCGAGUCUCUUGCUAAUGAGUUUUCCUUUACUUAAUACCAGACGCUGUGGCUCCUCCCCGCGUGAAAUCUCACGUGGACUUGGGAAGAGAGAGCAUCUGUCCCCAUUUGACUCAUUUUCAACACCAGGUCCCCGAGUGCCAGGUUGUGGCCAAAUCCUGUUCCAGUGGGAGGACCCCCCUUCCCUAGGAUGUGGCUGAGUCACUUGUUUGUGCAGGCUCAGGAGUCUGGGAGCCACCCCAGGGACCACAGGUGUGGAAGGAGAAGCCCGCUCCAAUCACGGUUUCUGGGCGUCACCUUGGAGACAGCAGCUGAGGAGCUCAAAUAGGUGUUACCGUGGAAGCUCCUGUCUCAAGGGAGCCUGAGGUUUUCUUUCCCAAGUCUGUAGACAGCCACUUGAUGGAAAUGAUCAUACCUGUGCCCAUUUGCGUUGGGCUGGACCAGAGACCCUGUGCUUACAAGUCUCCGUGGCCUCUUAGCUGCCCUGGAGGGAACCUCUUGUUCUGUGACUUAAGAAACCACAAGCUCUUGUCCUGAUGAGUUCUCUUAUUCUUGAGAAUCUGUGGUGGGCCUGGUACUUUCUAGGUGCUGGAGAUACAAAGACACCACAAGGCACCCUGCCCCUAAGGAGCACACAGUCCAGCAGGGGUCUGUAGUAGACCCUGAUUAUGCCAUCCUGUGAUAACACUGGAGUUGGACCUCUAGACACACAGGAGAAGGCUGGGGGUUUUUCUAGGGGAGAGACAAGACACGCAGAUGUUCCACAGGGUGGAGGGGUGUUUCAGAUGGAGCAGGUGUGUGUGCAAGGCCCAGGAUGUGCAGGAGUGCAAGGAUGGGUGAGUGGUUGCUGCCUGGAGGCCUGGGAUGGUGGCCUUGGGUCACUUCCCCUGAGUCCCAGACCAAAUCUCCAGAUGUUCCCAACAGCCCAUCAAAGAGCAGGUACUGAAGAGGGGGCUGAGGAGCUCCUUAUGUCCACUUAAGUGGAGGGACAGAGACACAGUACAAGAGAAGGGAACAGAGACAGGGACACACAAAGGCAGACACAGAAUGACCCACUUGUGACCUCAGGUGGCUCCAUCAGCAAUCGAGAACAGGGCUGAGUCACUUGUUUGCGCAGGUUCAGGAGUCUGGGAGCCACCCCAGGGACCAGCUUCCUAGACCCCGUCCCCUGAGGAAAAUUCAGGAAGGAGGAGGGAGGGGCAGGGUUAUCUCCUCCCCAGGCCCAUGGACUGGGUGGAUCUUGUGGAAUGCACUGGGCUGGAGGGAGAUUGGGGGCUGGGGGUGGGGAGAAGGGCUGGAAGGCCAGGGAACCAGCCCCAGUAGACGAGAGGGAGGCUCCCUACGGGAGUGGCAGAGGACAAGAAGGAUGGCGUGCAUGCCUCUGGAGGGAGUGGACGCAGAGGGAGACGGAAGAGUGGAAUCCAUCUGUUUAUGGACACUCAAGUCGAUCCCUGCAAGAACUAAGCAUGAAAGGUGGAGAAAGGAAGACUAGCAUUUUUUGGAUGCCUACUGUGUGACAGGUGCUUUCACUUGCCUCCUCAUUUAACCCUUUCAGCAAUCCACUCAGUAAAUACCCUGGCCCCGAUGGCGGCUUUCACUGAUGAGGAAACCAAGGAUCAUAGCGGUGGAGACGUUUGCAAGGUCACACAGCUAAGACGUAGCAGCUGUGGUCUGUACCCGGAUCUGAUGCCAUUGCCUGCCUGCUUUCUGCUGCCUUCCAGGGACUCUGCCGGUCAGCAGGUGUAUGACAGAAGCAUAUAUAUUAGCCAAAACAUGGUCUCUGUCAUCUGUUUUCUAACUCAGAUAAAGGUGAUCUUAAGGACGUGGACAGCACAGUUUAGGAUCAAAUGUUCUGCAAAAUCUGGGUCAGGUCAGGAAUUUACCUAAUUUGACAUAUUGUUUCCGACUCCUUUGACAUUUCUCUUCAUUUGGUUCUGAAUAUACAGUAUAGGAGAUUUUUUUCCUAUUAAACCGUGUCCGGCGGUGUAAAAGCUCUUGGGGUUGCUGAUCUCAUGGAGCUCUGCAGUUUGCCUCAAGCAAUUCUUUGGACUUCACAGAGCAUCCUGUUAUUUUGUUACAGACUUAAUUCCUUGAUCUCAUGCAUCCUGGAAGUUUCUAGUGGCAAAAGCCUCUCCCCACUCUGCAGCUGUCACUUAUUUAUAAGCCAGAGGCACUUUCUGUAUAUGCAACUUUCAUCAUAGAGCUCUGAGAGAAAGGUCUGGCAUUUCUGGAUGAUUCUGGCCAACCCAGAGCUGCACAGAGCCCUAACAUUUCAUGAGAGAGAAAAUCAACAGGAGAAUGGCCACUGUGGGCAUGACACGUGGCAAUGUGAUCGCUAACCCCACGGAACCAGCCACUUACCGCUUUCUGAAACCCAGAUCGUCAUCCCGCAGCGUGAUACAAAAGGAAGAUCAUCUUGCUAGAUGCCAAGAACCGUAGUUAUGACACUUUUUGUCAUUCUGUUUCCUCUUAUUUAUACAGUGGAGAGUAGGAUGUUUUCAAAUAAACCUUCUAAAUAUG
This 5945-nucleotide long non-coding RNA is filed under the name Homo sapiens (human). Its description in RNAcentral is "HSALNT0314502". The record is from RNAcentral. Lineage: Eukaryota; Metazoa; Chordata; Mammalia; Primates; Hominidae.